This 443-nucleotide ribosomal RNA is filed under the name uncultured bacterium. RNAcentral describes it as "partial 16S ribosomal RNA". It matches the Rfam family "Bacterial small subunit ribosomal RNA", at positions 338 to 795 of the family's 1533-position model. The record is from RNAcentral.
CCUACGGGCGGCAGCAGUGGGGAAUAUUGGACAAUGGGGGGAACCCUGAUCCAGCGACGCCGCGUGAGUGAUGAAGUAUUUCGGAAUGUAAAGCUCUAUCAGCAGGGAAGAAAGAAAUGACGGUACCUGAGUAAGAAGCCCCGGCUAACUACGGGCAAGCAGCCGCGGUAAUACGUAGGGGGCAAGCGUUAUCCGGAAUGACUGGGUGUAAAGGGAGCGUAGACGGUUACGCAAGUAUGGAGUGAAAGGCGGGGGCCCAACCCCCGCACUGCUGUUGAAACUGUAUAACUUGAGUACAGGAGAGGUAAGUGGAAUUCCUAGUGUAGCGGUGAAAUGCGUAGAUAUUAGGAGGAACACCAGUGGCGAAGGCGGCUUACUGGACUGUAACUGACGUUGAGGCUCGAAAGCGUGGGGAGCAAACAGGAUUAGAUACCCCUGUAGUC